UAUGUGGCGCUACUCUUGAUUUUAUAACUUUCAAAUUAUAUCUUUUACAUGGAUGCAUUUUUGUUCCUAUUGUUUUGACUAAUUAACUCCUGUGAUAUUCAAUGCCAAAGCACACUUGAUACUGCUUUGGUAGUAACGCUACUUGGCUCUUCUUUGCCAACUUGCCACUCUAUUACUUUUAUGAAAUGGCUUCGCCCAAGGGAAUUAGCAUAUUUUGGAAUAGUAAUUGGAAUGCAAAGGGGAGUGAAACAAAGUCCAUUCUUUUAUGAAUUUAGGUAGGGAAAGUCGAAGAAUGUGCAAUAUAAAGGGCCCAAUGGAGACUUGGCUGCUAUGGUUCAAAGGGAUGUCUUGGAGACCAAUCCUAGUGUUAGAUAGGAUGAUGUGGUUGGGUUGAGCGAAGCAAAAAGACUUUUAGAAGUAGCUGUGGUUCUUCCACUGUGGAUGCCUGAGUAUUUGCAGCACUUUCAGCUAUUGGAAGUGGGUAUGCUGUCUAGGUCUUUCUGCAUGUCUCUUGUUUCCAUCUGUGUUGGGAAGAUCACCAAGCAAGGGGCAAGUAGCUUCUUAUGUCCCAACACCCGUAAGGUAGUUCUCUUCAUUUUAUUACUCUACUGUUGCAUGUGAGUUGAUUUUUCCUCUGUUAUAGUAUUUACAGUUUUGUAAAGUAAUUAUUUUUAUUCAGUGAACUAACUAGGGAAUGUAAUAUUUGAGAGAAAAAAUUAG
Olea europaea var. sylvestris is the source of this 720-nucleotide long non-coding RNA. RefSeq lists it as uncharacterized. The transcript has 3 exons. The record is from RefSeq and is a predicted model, not a curated record. Lineage: Eukaryota; Viridiplantae; Streptophyta; Magnoliopsida; Lamiales; Oleaceae.